RNAcentral lists this non-coding RNA (25 nucleotides) under Rattus norvegicus (Norway rat). Lineage: Eukaryota; Metazoa; Chordata; Mammalia; Rodentia; Muridae. The record is from RNAcentral.
UGAUGUCGGAAUGGAGUAGCUGUCC